ACCUGGGUGGCUCAGUCAGUUGAGCAUCUGACUUCGGCUCAGGUCAUGAUCUCACGGUUCAUGGGUUCGAGCCCCACGUUGGGUU
This is a non-coding RNA of Felis catus (domestic cat), 85 nucleotides long. The record is from Rfam. Lineage: Eukaryota; Metazoa; Chordata; Mammalia; Carnivora; Felidae.